RNAcentral lists this microRNA precursor (107 nucleotides) under Paramuricea clavata. The record is from RNAcentral. Lineage: Eukaryota; Metazoa; Cnidaria; Anthozoa; Malacalcyonacea; Plexauridae.
AACACGCUCCUUUCCCACCCCUCUCACAGUUACAAUUAAAUUUACCUCCCAGAAUCUGGGAGGUAAAUUUAAUUGUAACUGUGAGAGGGGUGGGAAAGGAGCGUGUU